Molecule: ribosomal RNA, 253 nt
Filed under: uncultured bacterium
Lineage: Bacteria
Description: partial 16S ribosomal RNA
Rfam family: Bacterial small subunit ribosomal RNA
Source: RNAcentral
UACGUAGGGUGCAAGCGUUAAUCGGAAUUAUUGGGCGUAAAGCGUGCGCAGGCGGUUAUGUAAGACAGAGGUGAAAUCCCCGGGCUCAACCUGGGAGCUGCCUUUGUGACUGCAUAGCUAGAGUACGGCAGAGGGGGAUGGAAUUCCGCGUGUAGCAGUGAAAUGCGUAGAUAUGCGGAGGAACACCGAUGGCGAAGGCAAUCCCCUGGGCCUGUACUGACGCUCAUGCACGAAAGCGUGGGGAGCAAACAGG